Molecule: long non-coding RNA, 3316 nt
Filed under: Brassica napus (rape)
Lineage: Eukaryota; Viridiplantae; Streptophyta; Magnoliopsida; Brassicales; Brassicaceae
Description: long non-coding RNA (BNAP_LNC025477)
Source: RNAcentral
AAGACUUUACACUUCCUUUGUCUCUCCCAUCCAUGGAGUCAACAAGAAGAGCUUCUCGAUAGAGGAAUCACUGAUGGGUAGCCUCGGAUGCGACGCCCAUGGCGUCUUGAACGACGCAGAGUUCAGCAAACCUAUGCCUUCGAUCGGUUUAUACGUAGCCAUCGCUUCACUAAUCUGCGCGCUAGCCAUGGCCGCCGACCUCCUCCACGGCUUCCGCCACCGAAAAUUCUGGUUCCCCUGUAAGUACUUCUCCCUCAACGCGACUUCUCUCACUUUCAUCGGCGUCGGGAUCAAACUCUCAGUAGAUCUCAACACCUCCAUGCCUAGUCGCCACGACCAGCUAUCCAAGCUCAGCAGCAGCGUCUUCGUCUGCACAGUGAUGGGCAACUCGAUGCCUUCUCUUGGUUCAAUGGACAACAAAGAUCUUUUAAUGAACCUCGUGGCCUUAGCGAUCCUCGUGGUCACAGACGUCGUCAACAUCUGUAUUCAGCUAGGUACGGGAGCCAUCUACGUCUUCAAAGAAGAACACUUCAUGGUCGUCCUCCUCAUGAUACUUAUGCUAGUGAUCUUGAGUUUCUCCGCGACCACGGUCCCUACCACGAAGAGGAUCUUGGAGACCAAAUACAAGAAGAAGUACGAGAUGGCUUUGAAGUGCCCUUUGGCUACAGAGAGAACAACUGUAGCGAAAAAGAUUCAGCAAGAUUUGUCAAAGUUCUGGAUGAUGGCUCACACUAGUAGUCCUCAGUUCGUGAUGGCACGUUCCGUCACGUGCACUGCUUCUGGCUUCUUCUGUCUUCUUAGCGCCGUUACGCUUGGUGAAGCUGUUGUCCGGUCUUACUUGCUGAGACCGGGGACGACGACGACGCUUGAGUUUUGCCGAGGAGAUUCUGAUUAUAAAUGGUCGACCUCUCUGGUUCUCGUUUGUCAGGGGAGUGCUGUAGCUGUAGGGACUGUCGCUCCUGCGAUUCGUUGGUUUACAGCUGUUAAGUUCAGGUGUCCGAUUAGAGGGAGUAGGAGUUAUAGAGACGAGUUUCGAGUAGAGAGUUACUGGACGCAGUGGUUCUCUGAGAAGAAACAACGUCCCUUACCCUUGAGCCGUCUUUCGAUUCUCAAAGAUCGCAGCUGCAGGAAGACAGCGCACGAUGCGAAACGCUGGCUGUUGGAUGUGUGUAUAGGUGUGCAGUAUGUUAUAGUGUUUGCCAGCAAGAUCAUCCGUUACGUCUCUGUCUACUGCGUGAGCAGAAUCUUGAUUUGUCUUCAUUUGGCGUUCAGAGCGACGGGUAGAAGUACAGUCUCUCACGUUGACUCGGAGAUGUCUGGUGGUGGUUCAUGUGUGCAUGAUCAUGAUGAUUUAUAUAGUAAAUUUGCUUUAUCAAAUUUUGGAAGUUCGUCACAAAAUCACUUUAUUUCCUGUUCCGUUUUUUUAUAUUUGACGUUUCAGAUAGUUUUUUUUUAUUUCAAACCUGAUAACGUUAGUUUUAUUGUAAAAUUUAUUAGUUUUAAGUUAUUAAACCAUUUAUAUUUAAUAAUUGUGGUUUUGUAGAUAAAUUAUUUCAAUUUUAUUUAAAAUAAAUAAAUAUUUUGUUAAUUAGUGUAUACAACUAUAAAAUGUCAGCUAAAUAAAAAUGGAGGGAAUAUUAUUUUGUUAAUUGGUUUUGUUGAUUAUGUUUUUUGAAAACUUUAGUGUAUAAUAUCUUUGGUCAUUUAAAGAACUAUUUUGUAUCAAUAAAUUUAACCAAUUUUCAUAUUGUCAAUUUUAGCUUACAAACACACAUACAGAAGUGUCAUUUUUGUAGCCACAUCUUUCUCUGAAAAGUGAAAACAUAUUUUAAAACUCAUAAUAUUUACCUAUAGUCAAACCCAUGAAACGUUUUGUAUCAUAUAUUCACAAAACAUUUAUUAAAUUUAGAAAGAGAAAAAGAAAAAGAAAACAAAAGUCCAGCGAUUGGCGUAUCCACAUUUUCAAAGUUCUGGACUUGCAUCGAAGAAGAUAGAGAAGCUAAUGACUUGCAUCGAAGAAGAUAGAGGAACAUAAUUGACGAAAACCAUGCCUCCAGUCAUCUACCGGGAUUCGAAAUGCUCCAAUAUUUUGCUUGGGAUGACUACUAUCCGAAGCUAUCUGACUUUGGUUUGGCUAAACUUGGCCCGGUGGGUCACAAGUCUCAAAUGAGACGUUUACACGUAUACCAAUAAUAGGUGAUGUUCUUUCACAUGUAAUGUUUUGUAGCAUUUGUUUCAGUAUAUGGUAUUUUGAGUAAUGUCUCUAUUUUCAUUUCCAGAAAUGUUGUAUUACAUGUUAUAGUUUUGAAUUUUGACACUAUGUUUUGAUGGUAUUAUCAUGUGUUUUGUGUUUACUGCUAUAAACUGCGAUGCUAGUGUAUUAGUUUCUUGGUCUAGCGAUAGAAUCAUAAGAGUAACAUUGUGGUUCUGUCGGAACAGAGCAUGUCGGAAGCUAGCUGAACGAACUAUCUUCUUACAACACUCAACACUGUCUGAAAAGGAUCAAGAAUGCAAAAAAGAAAAACGAAAAAGUUCAAGUAAAAACAUUAACUCAUCUAGUAGAAAAAGUUCGAUAAUUUCUCAGAGUUUUUUAGUCUAGCGAUAGAAUCAUAAGAGGUAACAUUGUGGGUUCUGUCGGAACAGAGUAUGUCGGAAGCUAGCUGAGCGAUCUUCUUACAACACUCAACACUGUCCGAAAAGGAUCAAGGAUGCAGUAAACCGACAAAGUUCCAAGUAAAAAAACAUCAACUGACAAAACCACCCCAUGACUGAUCUAGUAGAAAAAGUACGAGACUUUCUCAGAGUUUCAGAAAAUUCAACAAAAUAGGAUCUUUAUAAAAAAACCAUAAUCCCAAAUUUGACCAAAACUCAUAAAAAAAAAACAAGACUUUACACUUCCUUUGUCUCUCCCAUCCAUGGAGUCAACAAGAAGAGCUUCUCGAUAGAGGAAUCACUGAUGGGUAGCCUCGGAUGCGACGCCCAUGGCGUCUUGAACGACGCAGAGUUCAGCAAACCUAUGCCUUCGAUCGGUUUAUACGUAGCCAUCGCUUCACUAAUCUGCGCGCUAGCCAUGGCCGCCGACCUCCUCCACGGCUUCCGCCACCGAAAAUUCUGGUUCCCCUGUAAGUACUUCUCCCUCAACGCGACUUCUCUCACUUUCAUCGGCGUCGGGAUCAAACUCUCAGUAGAUCUCAACACCUCCAUGCCUAGUCGCCACGACCAGCUAUCCAAGCUCAGCAGCAGCGUCUUCGUCUGCACAGUGAUGGGCAACUCGAUGCCUUCACUAGGUAUAAUGGACAACAAAGAUCUUUUAAUG